RNAcentral lists this long non-coding RNA (533 nucleotides) under Octopus vulgaris (common octopus). Lineage: Eukaryota; Metazoa; Mollusca; Cephalopoda; Octopoda; Octopodidae. The record is from RNAcentral.
AAAGAAGCGACGGUUCUACGUGUCUUACACACAUUUUGUGUGUGGCGGAGACGAAGGCUGGCUUAUCAUCAUCGAAGCAUUUUACAUGUGUCAUUGGGAAAUACCAUAUAUAUAUCCCCGAUUCAUAUACUCUAACGCACCUUCGAAAGCCGCAUGGCUACUCGGUAAGUAUUUCGUUGUCUUUUAUCUUUUAUCUGUGUAAGUGUGGCUUCGUGGUGGUGGUGGUGGUAGUAGUAGUAGUAGUAGUAGUGCUGGUGCUACUGCUGUUGUUGCUAUUUUUUAUGUUUAUUGUUUGUUUUUAUUCCUGUUUCUCAUGUUACUCUUUCCAGGUUACGGAUCAGCAGAUACCCUGGCCAUAUUCAUCCGCUUGAUACAGAAAUAACCAAAACAUAUGCAGGCAUUAUUAGUAUUGCUGCUGCUAUAUCUAUCUAUAUGAGCAUCUAUGACCAUCUAUAUACCUAUACUAUAUCUAUACUGUAUGACCAUCACCGCUGACCCACACUCCAUGUACCCCACUCAAUAAAAGUCUGUUC